RNAcentral lists this ribosomal RNA (751 nucleotides) under uncultured Glomeromycotina. RNAcentral describes it as "SSU rRNA". It matches the Rfam family "Eukaryotic small subunit ribosomal RNA", at positions 338 to 1092 of the family's 1831-position model. Lineage: Eukaryota; Fungi; Glomeromycota. The record is from RNAcentral.
GGCCUACCAUGGUGGUAACGGGUAACGGGGUGUUAGGGCACGACACCGGAGAGGGAGCCUGAGAAACGGCUACCACAUCCAAGGAUGGCAGCAGGCGCGCAAAUUACCCAAUCCCGACACGGGGAGGUAGUGACAAUAAAUAACAAUACGGGGUUCUUAAGGAUCUCGUAAUUGGAAUGAGUACAAUUUAAAUCUCUUAACGAGGAACAAUUGGAGGGCAAGUCUGGUGCCAGCAGCCGCGGUAAUUCCAGCUCCAAUAGCGUAUAUUAAAGUUGUUGCAGUUAAAAAGCUCGUAGUUGAAUUUCGGGAUUAGUACGUCGGUCGUGCCUUAGGUACCUACUGGUGUUACUGGUUCCUACCUUCUGACGAACCAUCAUGUCAUUAAUUUGGUGUGGUGGGGAGUCGGGACUGUUACUUUGAAAAAAUUAGAGUGUUUAAAGCAGGCUAACGCUUGAAUACAUUAGCAUGGAAUAAUGAAAUAGGACGUUCGGUCUUAUUUUGUUGGUUUCUAAGAUUGACGUAAUGAUUAAUAGGGAUAGUUGGGGGCAUUAGUAUUCAAUUGUCAGAGGUGAAAUUCUUGGAUUUAUUGAAGACUAACUACUGCGAAAGCAUUUGCCAAGGAUGUUUUCAUUAAUCAAGAACGAAAGUUAGGGGAUCGAAGACGAUCAGAUACCGUCGUAGUCUUAACCAUAAACUAUGCCGACUAGGGAUCGGAUGAUGUUAUUUUUAAUGACUCAUUCGGCGCCUUACG